GUAGAUAUAGUUUUAACAAAAACAUUAGAUUGUGAUUCUAAAAAUAGGGGUUAGAGUCCCCUUGUCCACC
Molecule: transfer RNA, 70 nt
Filed under: Epinephelus fasciatomaculosus (rock grouper)
Lineage: Eukaryota; Metazoa; Chordata; Actinopteri; Perciformes; Serranidae
Description: tRNA-His
Rfam family: tRNA
About the family: Transfer RNA (tRNA) molecules are approximately 80 nucleotides in length.
Source: RNAcentral